Molecule: long non-coding RNA, 901 nt
Organism: Oryzias melastigma (Indian medaka)
Lineage: Eukaryota; Metazoa; Chordata; Actinopteri; Beloniformes; Adrianichthyidae
Exons: 3
Source: RefSeq, a predicted model, not a curated record
UACAUGUGGGCCUUUGGUACAUAGUGUUAGAUAAGAGUUCAACAUUUUACCUUCCAAACACUGUGAAAAAACGAUUCAAGAGCUUUGAAUUGUGUAUAUAUAGAUACAUUAGUUUUAAGAGAAAGGUAAUGAUAGACCCAGAGAAUUGACAGAUUAAACUUGCUUAACUCUGACCCAAAACUUUAAAGUGGUUAUGGGAAGUUUAGUCCUCAAUCUAACAAAUCCUGCUCCAAUCCCUAUUUAAACCUGAUCAGAAAUGUGUAAACUUGCAUUUCUGAGAGUCCUUUUAGGUGCAUAAAAUAUGUAGGAGAAUAUAGAAACUGUAGUUAAAAAAAAACAAACUCAAAAAUACAAGAACACAUUCACACACUGGUGUUUGCAUUUGAAACUGUUUGUGUAUGUACUUUUUUAGAAAUUAUUUGUUUGCCAGAUCUCAGCCACAAAAAUGUAAAGCAGUUCAGCCACUAUGCUGCACGUCUGGUUUAAUGAGGAAAAGAAAUAGAAAACAAACAGCGUCUGGACAUGAUUUCAACACAAACAGAACAGUCACCUUCUGUAAUUGAGCAUAUGAGGUUUCUAUUCAAACUUGUGGGAACAGCACAAUGACAUACGAGGAUGCAGUGAUGCUGGGAUCACUUCUCAUCAACACAUCAGAGCGGAAAGUUGAUGAUCAGAACUGAAGCUGAGGAGAAAAAAAACCCAGCAGUUGAAAGAAUUACAGAGAAACGAUGAAGCUGAGUUUGUUUCUUAUGGUUCUUGUUGGUCAUUUUUGUCUCUUCACGUGUCAGCUCCAUGAGUAUCACUUUGUUGAUCAGAACAAGACUUGGACUGAAGCUCAGCAGCACUGCAGGGACAAAUACACUGAUCUGGCUACAGUGAGCAGCAUGGUUGACAUAGACCG